RNAcentral lists this long non-coding RNA (293 nucleotides) under Homo sapiens (human). RNAcentral's name for it is "HSALNT0074324". The record is from RNAcentral. Lineage: Eukaryota; Metazoa; Chordata; Mammalia; Primates; Hominidae.
AGAGGCUUUCCUGACCUUUGCCAAAAAGAGAGGAUGGGCUUCCAAAUGCAGAGGAGCCAUUUCCAUCUCAAAGAGACAGGGUCCUGCCCCGCCACCCAGGCUGGACUGCAGCGGCUCGAUCGUAGCUUUCUGCAGCCUCCAACUCCUGGGCUCAAGCAAUCCUCUUUCUUCAGCCUCCCGAGUCACUGGGACUACAGCAACAAAUUGACAGUUAUCAAAGAAAGAAGAAAGCUCCCUGGGUUUUGUGUUUGGGAAGAAGGGCAGGAUGAUUGGUGGGAAUAAGGAGAUGGAAG